Molecule: ribosomal RNA, 569 nt
Filed under: Salmonella enterica subsp. enterica serovar Dublin
Lineage: Bacteria; Pseudomonadati; Pseudomonadota; Gammaproteobacteria; Enterobacterales; Enterobacteriaceae
Description: partial 23S ribosomal RNA
Rfam family: Bacterial large subunit ribosomal RNA
Source: RNAcentral
AUGUGCUGUGAGCUCGAUGAGUAGGGCGGGACACGUGGUAUCCUGUCUGAAUAUGGGGGGACCAUCCUCCAAGGCUAAAUACUCCUGACUGACCGAUAGUGAACCAGUACCGUGAGGGAAAGGCGAAAAGAACCCCGGCGAGGGGAGUGAAAAAGAACCUGAAACCGUGUACGUACAAGCAGUGGGAGCACAGGUUUACCUGUGUGACUGCGUACCUUUUGUAUAAUGGGUCAGCGACUUAUAUUCUGUAGCAAGGUUAACCGAAUAGGGGAGCCGGAGGGAAACCGAGUCUUAAUUGGGCGUUAAGUUGCAGGGUAUAGACCCGAAACCCGGUGAUCUAGCCAUGGGCAGGUUGAAGGUUGGGUAACACUAACUGGAGGACCGAACCGACUAAUGUUGAAAAAUUAGCGGAUGACCUGUGGCUGGGGGUGAAAGGCCAAUCAAACCGGGAGAUAGCUGGUUCUCCCCGAAAGCUAUUUAGGUAGCGCCUCGUGAAUUCAUCUCCGGGGGUAGAGCACUGUUUCGGCUAGGGGGCCAUCCCGGCUUACCAACCCGAUGCAAACUGCGAA